CAUGUAAUAAGACAGCGUUUGCUUUUAAAACUCAGUUCUUUAAUAUUCAAUUAUUUAGAGAAUAACCAAGUGUCAUUAGCUCAAUUGGUAAAAACUCUACGCGAAGCUUAGAGGUCGGUUCGAGUGACGUUUGAGACGAAACUAAAUAUUACAUGCUGUAGUUUCGGGCCUGGGGGAAUUACGCGCUUCAGCCCAGAACCUCCUGAUAUUCAAAAAAAAA
This 220-nucleotide small RNA is filed under the name Arabidopsis thaliana (thale cress). RNAcentral describes it as "ATSL059940". The record is from RNAcentral. Lineage: Eukaryota; Viridiplantae; Streptophyta; Magnoliopsida; Brassicales; Brassicaceae.